Pan troglodytes (chimpanzee) is the source of this 101-nucleotide unclassified non-coding RNA. It matches the Rfam family "Y RNA". Rfam says of the family: Y RNAs are components of the Ro ribonucleoprotein particle (Ro RNP), in association with Ro60 and La proteins. NCBI's taxonomy places the organism in Eukaryota, Metazoa, Chordata, Mammalia, Primates, Hominidae. The record is from Ensembl.
GGCUGGUCCCAGUGCAGUGGUGUUUAUAACUCAUCAAUCAUAGCAGUUACAGAUUUCUUUAUUCCUUCUUCCCUCCCACUGCUUCACUUGACUACCCUUAA